RNA transcript from Lagopus muta (rock ptarmigan), 3470 nucleotides. It is a transcript of the gene named N-methylpurine DNA glycosylase, with no coding region annotated. NCBI's taxonomy places the organism in Eukaryota, Metazoa, Chordata, Aves, Galliformes, Phasianidae. The record is from RefSeq and is a predicted model, not a curated record. The transcript is spliced from 5 exons.
GUUCGCGUCUAUGUUUGACUCAGAUUUUCACAGCCUUUACAGUAAGCAGUGAUUUCAUAGCUUCCUGGAAGUGUCUGGUUAUAGGAGAGGCGUUAGCUUUUGUUCCUGUGUUAUCAGAAGUUUUGUGUCUCACCAGUAGCAGGCUCACAUACAGCAUGUGAUCCAGGGCUGUGAGGGAAAUUGUCCCCACUCCUCAGAUCCUUUGUUGAUGUAGAGCCCGAAGGCUUUGUUCUGGGGUUCUGAAGAUGCUUGCUAUUGUGGUGGACAUCAGCUAUUCAUCUUAACCUGCAUUUACAAGUGUGUCUCUGCACAUCAUCAUCCAUUAAAGCCUCGAGUCAGUAUUUUGUUUUCUUACUUUAAUUAUUUGACUGUGUCUGGUAAUACAAUGCAAAACACAGACAAAUAUUCUCCCUGUAACCAUACAGAUUAAUCCCAAAUCACUAAAUGUAGGAAAUCUUUCCCCUGAAAAUAGAAGAAAGGCACUUUCUCACUCACAGACCCAAGUUCAUAGCAUGUGUGAUUCAACGUCUCAGUUGAAUCUCCUAGAGCAGUAUCUUGGCUGUUACUGAGUUUGUUUCAUGACUGAUUUUCUGCAUCUGGUUUUGCUGGAGAGUUCAGGCUGUUUGUGCAGGGCUUCAAUACUAAGACUUUUUAAGCUGGCCUGAAAUCUGGAGGAAAUUAUCUGUCCCAUACCCCUACCUGUCAAAACUUUCUCAUAGGACUUCAGAUAUUACUCCUCUGUAGGUAGGACUGGGUAUGCAGCAGAUCCUCUCUGUGGGUUUGAGCUGAGGAGGAACCAUGAGCACCUUCUGCUUCUGUGCUUAUGCAGGGAGCAACGCCAGGAUGCUUCUGGGGGUAAAUCUUUGUGCUCUGUGCCUUUCCUCCUGGUCCUUCAGUUGCUGUGCUUCAACAGAAGCCCUUAAGUAUAAUAUCUCUGGAUAUUAUCUGGAUGUUUGAGGGUUUCAGUCACAGGUUUUCCUUUUUAUCAAUGCAUUAAUGAGAAAGACAUCUUUGGUCAUUCAGUGAACUUUACAAAUCAUGAGUGUUUUCAGUGCCGUCAUGUAAGUGGAAAAAAAAUUACUCAGAGUUUUUGGAUGAUUCGCCAGACAUUCCCAAAGGACAUUUGCUGCACAUAAUGUUGAUGUGCAUCAGAAAACGGAACUGCCUGUCAGUGUUUGUGGCCUCACUGAAUGCUGCUUGAUAAUGGCUUGGUUAACUUGGGUCUCUGGGGACUGAGCUAACUAACAUCCGUUGCCAGUAUUAUACUUAACUUGCGUGCUUUCAUUUCAUGCAGCUUUGUCACACUGCUAGAAUGGUGGGGAAGAAUUAGGAUAGAAUAAAGCGACUUAAGAAAGUCAGCCAAAAUUAAGUGGAAUUUUGAUGAGGGAUUUUUUUUUUUCUUCAUGAUGUUUCAUUGCUUUCUCUCACUUUGUAUCUUCCUUGGUCUUCACAAAAGGAUGAUUAUUUUUCACUCUGAAAAGCUCAAGAUGUCCAGCAGGCACAGACUGGAGCUGGAAGGACUGUGUGCAGGAAAUGACAUUGCCAGACCUACAGAGCAGUCAGUAAGCACUAUGUCAAGGAAAAGAAAGCUGUUGGCUCAAUUAAGCGCCCUCCAAAGCAACUGCAGCAUCCCUCUUUCUGAUGCCUUGAAGAGCCCCACCACGACUCCUGAUGGCAACUCUUCUCCAACAAGCAGCAAAUAUUUUGUAACAGAGAAAAAACAAUCUUCCCAACUGGAAGCAGAUUUCUUCAACCAGCCCUGUAUCAGCCUGGCCAAAUCCUUCCUGGGACAGAUUCUAGUUCGCAAACUUCCCGACGGCAGGGAGCUCUGGGGGAGGAUUGUUGAAACAGAAGCUUAUCUUGGUGGGGAAGAUGAGGCUUCUCACUCAAAAGGUGGGAAGCAAACUCAACGGAACGCAGCCAUGUUCAUGAAACCAGGAACUCUGUACGUGUACCAGAUCUAUGGGAUUUAUUUCUGCGUGAACGUUUCCAGCCAAGGGGAAGGGGCUGCAGUCUUACUCCGCUCUCUGGAGCCUCUCCAAGGUUUGGAUGUGAUGAGGGAGCUGCGCAGCACUUCAAGGAAAGGACCUGCAAAGCCACUGAAGGACUGGCAGCUGUGUAAUGGGCCCUCCAAGCUCUGCCAAGCAUUUGGGAUUGAUAAGGCUUUUGACCAAAGGGACCUGACUCAAGAUGCGGCCAUCUGGAUGGUACCUGGACAGGAGCUGCCCAGGGAGCAGGACGUGGUAGCCACGACCAGGAUUGGUAUUGGGAACAGAGGGGAAUGGUCACAGAAACCUCUCAGGUUUUAUUUAAGAGGAAACAAAUUUGUGAGUGUUGUAGACAAGAAAAUGGAGCGAGAGAUGGCAGCAAUGGAACCCAUCUCUUGCAGCUGAUGAAUCUUGCAAGUGUGCCACCAACCAGGACUUGAGCUGUGUGCUCUUUUGGAGAGCCUCAAGCCGUGUUGGGGCAGCAGCAAGGGCAGCUUGGAGGUUUUUAACAAUAAACAUAACUUUAUUGCAGCAAGGUGGAAUUUUAUUCAUGGGGCAGACGAGAAUGAAUCUUCCAGCCAGAACUGAGGUUGGAUUUGAGCACUGAAAGCCCCUUUCUCUCUUGUGAAUGGAUCCAGGCUCUGGUAAGGUGGAUGACUAGUGAAAGCUCACUGCUUUGAGCUGCUGUGUUGCUCCUCUUUGUGCUGGCCCCCAGGAGAGGCCAGAAGACUUGGUUUCUUCAGUGGAAUGCCAAAAGAGUGGGUGGCAGUAGGGCUGUCAGAAACUGAGAGAGCUGGUUUUGAUCAGUCUGGAGAUGAGGAGGAGAAAGAAUCGUGCUGCUGACUACAGCUGCCUAGUGGGAGGGUGCAGAGAAGGCAGAGCCAGAGUUUUGUCAGAGGUACACAGGGACAGGAUGAGAUGUAAUGGGCACAAGCUAGAAAACAGGAAAUUCUCAUUAGCUAUAUGGAAAACUGUUUCACCAUGAGGGUGGUCAAAUGCUGGAACUGGGAGCAAUCAGACCACCAUACAAGCUCCUGAUUGAUCUCAUGUAACAUUUUCUCUGAGCAGAAUUUGGACAGAAGAUCUCUAGAGACCCUGACCAACCUACACUAUUCUAUAAAAUCCAGUGAGUUUUUUGCUUUGUUUAUUUUUUCCAGCUGCUUUUGAGACCAGUUCAGAGUUUACGAGUGUGGGAGCCUGAACACAGAGAAAGAACCAAUGCUGAGAUCUCUGCCUCACAGCUCUUUCUGCAAAGCUGCAGCCUGCCAUGAAGUACAGAGGGAGGGAAAAAAUAGGAUUCAGGGGAGAAUCCAUACGAUUGCAGCCAUGCUGGCAGUUUGCCUUGCAUGUGUGGCACCAAGCCCUGCAACUAGGCCAAACAGUUGCUUGGAUCUCAACUGCAGGGAAGGCUCACAGAAGGGACUGUGCUGAAGUAGCUGCCAUCAGGUAUCCAGUGCGCUGCAGGCCCUGUGCUGUUCCUUG